AAAUUGAAGAGUUUGAUCAUGGCUCAGAUUGAACGCUGGCGGCAGGCCUAACACAUGCAAGUCGAACGGUAACAGGAAGAAGCUUGCUUCUUUGCUGACGAGUGGCGGACGGGUGAGUAAUGUCUGGGAAACUGCCUGAUGGAGGGGGAUAACUACUGGAAACGGUAGCUAAUACCGCAUAACGUCGCAAGACCAAAGAGGGGGACCUUCGGGCCUCUUGCCAUCGGAUGUGCCCAGAUGGGAUUAGCUUGUUGGUGGGGUAACGGCUCACCAAGGCGACGAUCCCUAGCUGGUCUGAGAGGAUGACCAGCCACACUGGAACUGAGACACGGUCCAGACUCCUACGGGAGGCAGCAGUGGGGAAUAUUGCAC
RNAcentral lists this ribosomal RNA (372 nucleotides) under Escherichia coli. RNAcentral describes it as "bacterial SSU rRNA". It matches the Rfam family "Bacterial small subunit ribosomal RNA", at positions 1 to 369 of the family's 1533-position model. Lineage: Bacteria; Pseudomonadati; Pseudomonadota; Gammaproteobacteria; Enterobacterales; Enterobacteriaceae. The record is from RNAcentral.